UGCAGUCGAACGAUGAUCCCAGCUUGCUGGGGGAUUAGUGGCGAACGGGUGAGUAACACGUGAGUAACCUGCCCUUGACUCUGGGAUAAGCCUGGGAAACUGGGUCUAAUACCGGAUACGACCAUCUGGCGCAUGUCAUGGUGGUGGAAAGCUUUUGUGGUUUUGGAUGGACUCGCGGCCUAUCAGCUUGUUGGUGGGGUAAUGGCCUACCAAGGCGACGACGGGUAGCCGGCCUGAGAGGGUGACCGGCCACACUGGGACUGAGACACGGCCCAGACUCCUACGGGAGGCAGCAGUGGGGAAUAUUGCACAAUGGGCGCAAGCCUGAUGCAGCGACGCCGCGUGAGGGAUGACGGCCUUCGGGUUGUAAACCUCUUUCAGUAGGGAAGAAGCGAAAGUGACGGUACCUGCAGAAGAAGCGCCGGCUAACUACGUGCCAGCAGCCGCGGUAAUACGUAGGGCGCAAGCGUUAUCCGGAAUUAUUGGGCGUAAAGAGCUCGUAGGCGGUUUGUCGCGUCUGCUGUGAAAGACCGGGGCUCAACUCCGGUUCUGCAGUGGGUACGGGCAGACUAGAGUGCAGUAGGGGAGACUGGAAUUCCUGGUGUAGCGGUGAAAUGC
This 618-nucleotide ribosomal RNA is filed under the name bacterium 32-L049616-122-011-H04. RNAcentral describes it as "bacterial SSU rRNA". It matches the Rfam family "Bacterial small subunit ribosomal RNA", at positions 56 to 689 of the family's 1533-position model. The record is from RNAcentral.